Non-coding RNA from Vicia faba (fava bean), 402 nucleotides. NCBI's taxonomy places the organism in Eukaryota, Viridiplantae, Streptophyta, Magnoliopsida, Fabales, Fabaceae. The record is from the annotation of a GenBank genome assembly.
AUGAACAAAAUUCUCUGCAUCUUUUUAAACAUCGGUAACUUGCUUUCAUCAUCAUUCAGAAUCCGCGAUUCCAAUCUCUGCAAAAACUUCAGAACUGCUUCACUUUCUUCACUCAUCAUCAUCAAUCUUUAUCAGAUCUUCAACAGCUUCCAUCAUUGUCAUCACCGAUCCUGCAUCAACAUCAUCACUCAUCUUCACUUUGCAACACCGAUUCUACAAAAAACGCAACAACAUUACAACAACACACACGCAAUAACAAUCACCACUCAGACUCAGAAAACUGAAUCAGAAGAAGAAGGAGCGAAGAUAAUCACACGCAGAGGAGAAGAGAAAGAAUGUAGAAGAUUCAACAUACUUGAGAUGUCGCAACCUGAGCCGUCGUUUUCGCCAUUGGUUAGGUAG